Molecule: ribosomal RNA, 355 nt
Filed under: uncultured bacterium
Lineage: Bacteria
Description: bacterial SSU rRNA
Rfam family: Bacterial small subunit ribosomal RNA
Source: RNAcentral
AGCGAACGCUGGCGGCAGGCCUAACACAUGCAAGUCGAGCGCCCGUAGCAAUACGGGAGCGGCAGACGGGAUAGUAACACGUGGGAACGUACCCUUCAGUUCGGAGCAACCCAGGGAAACUUGGGCUAAUACCGAAUACGUCCGUAAGGAGAAAGAUUUAUCGCUGAAGGAUCGGCCCGCGUCUGAUUAGCUAGUUGGUGGGGUAAUGGCCCACCAAGGCGACGAUCAGUAGCUGGCUGAGAGGAUGAUCAGCAUCACUGGGACUGAGACACGGCCCAGACUCCUACGGGAGGCAGCAGUGGGGAAUAUUGGACAAUGGGCGCAAGCCUGAUCCAGCCAUGCCGCGUGAGUGAAG